UAAGGCUGGGUGCCGUGGUGGCUGCUGUCCAUAUCGGUCCUGUGGCAGUGGCGGUGGGACGUUUGCGUGAACGGUUGAUUUUCAGAGUUGUUGGUUCCCUUGGAGACUCCUACGGUCGCGAUGGCCCGUGGAAACCAAAGGGAACUUGCCCGUCAGAAAAAUAUGAAGAAAACACAGGAGAUUAGCAAGGGAAAAAGAAAAGAAGAUAGCUUGUCUGCCUCUCAGAGAAAGCAGAGGGAUUCUGAAAUCAUGCAACAAAAGCAGAAGGCUGCUAAUGAGAAGAAAUCUCUGCAGACAGGUGAAAAAUGAUCCAACAGUAAUUUGAAGAACCAGGUGGAUCACAAGAUCUGAAAUCAAGAAUUUGUAGAAUGACCAGCCAUUAAAAAUUAACAAUUUAUCAUA
Molecule: long non-coding RNA, 402 nt
Organism: Gracilinanus agilis (Agile Gracile Mouse Opossum)
Lineage: Eukaryota; Metazoa; Chordata; Mammalia; Didelphimorphia; Didelphidae
Exons: 3
Source: RefSeq, a predicted model, not a curated record